UGGUUUGGUGUGUAUAUGGUUUCAAUUUAUGGUAGCAAAAAUGUAAAAUGCUAUAUAUUCUUGACACUAACGAUAGAAAAACUUUCCUUAGCUUAGAUUGUGAUAGCUCAGUAUGUGUCAUAGAAUCCAAUUUCACAAUAUCUCUUUACUUUUCUCCUUUAUGUCAUGUGGUCAACUUUACAGUAUGUUUGUAAGGGUGGAAAGUGAGGGAAAGAAAGAGAGGAAAGAAAAUAAUGAGAUAUUCUCUGUUUUGCAAGAUGAAGUAAAAUGGAGAGAGAAAAAUAAAUGAUGAUGUUUAGGCUUGUGGUUUGGUGUGUAUAUGGUUUCAAUUUAUGGUAGCAAAAAUGUAAAAUGCUAUAUAUUCUUGACACUAACGAUAGAAAAACUUUCCUUAGCUUAGAUUGUGAUAGCUCAGUAUGUGUCAUAGAAUCCAAUUUCACAAUAUCUCUUUACUUUUCUCCUUUAUGUCAUGUGGUCAACUUUACAGUAUGUUUGUAAGGGUGGAAAGUGAGGGAAAGAAAGAGAGGAAAGAAAAUAAUGAGAUAUUCUCUGUUUUGCAAGAUGAAGUAAAAUGGAGAGAGAAAAAUAAAUGAUGAUGUUUAGGCUUG
Molecule: unclassified non-coding RNA, 608 nt
Filed under: Hevea brasiliensis (rubber tree)
Lineage: Eukaryota; Viridiplantae; Streptophyta; Magnoliopsida; Malpighiales; Euphorbiaceae
Source: RNAcentral